Molecule: ribosomal RNA, 520 nt
Filed under: uncultured Glomus
Lineage: Eukaryota; Fungi; Glomeromycota; Glomeromycetes; Glomerales; Glomeraceae
Description: SSU rRNA
Rfam family: Eukaryotic small subunit ribosomal RNA
Source: RNAcentral
AGCAGCCGCGGUAAUUCCAGCUCCAAUAGCGUAUAUUAAAGUUGUUGCAGUUAAAAAGCUCGUAGUUGAAUUUCGGGGUUAGUAGGUUGGUCAUGCCUCUGGUAUGUACUGGUCUCACUGAUUCCUCCUUCCUGAUGAACCUUAAUGCCAUUUAUUUGGUGUUUUGGGGAAUUUGGACUGUUACUUUGAAAAAAUUAGAGUGUUUAAAGCAAGCUAACGCUUGAAUACAUUAGCGUGGAAUAAUGAAAUAGGACGUUCGAUCCUAUUUUGUUGGUUUCUAGGAUUGACGUAAUGAUUAAUAGGGAUAGUUGGGGGCAUUAGUAUUCAAUUGUCAGAGGUGAAAUUCUUGGAUUUAUUGAAGGCUAACUACUGCGAAAGCAUUUGCCAAGGAUGUUUUCAUUAAUCAAGAACGAAAGUUAGGGGAUCGAAGACGAUCAGAUACCGUCGUAGUCUUAACCAUAAACUAUGCCGACUAGGGAUCGGAUGAUGUUAAUUUUUAUGACUCAUUCGGCGCCUUACG